RNAcentral lists this ribosomal RNA (1213 nucleotides) under Teleopsis dalmanni. Its description in RNAcentral is "partial 16S ribosomal RNA". Lineage: Eukaryota; Metazoa; Arthropoda; Insecta; Diptera; Diopsidae. The record is from RNAcentral.
UCAUUAUAAAUUGAUUUAAAAUUUAUUUAUUUAUUAUUUUAUUUAUUUAAAUUUAAUAUUAAAAAUAAUUAUAAAUUUAUAAUUUUUAGUAAAGUUUAUUGAAAAAAUAUUUUUUAUUAUAGUGUAUUAGUAUUGUGUAAUAAUAUUGAAAUAUAUUGAAGAAUAUUUGUAUUAAAAGAAAAUUUUAAUUAUUGUACCUUGUGUAUCAGGGUUUAUUAAAUAAAUAAUAUUUAUUUGGAUAUUUUUCUCGAUUUAUUAAGAGUUAAAAAUUUAUAAAAGUUGAUGUAAUAAUAUCAUUUUUAAUAUAUUUUUGGAAAUGAAAUGUUUUUCGUUUAAUAUGGUAUUCUAGUUUUUUAAGAAAUAAAUUUAAUUUAGAAUUAAUUGUAAUUUAAUUUAUUUAUAUAAAUUUAAAUAAAUAAUUAAUUUAAUAUUUUAUGGGAUAAGCUGUAAAUUAAAUUGUUAUAAAUUUUGAAUAUUUAAAUUAAUUAUAUGCUUAGAAUUAGCAAUUAUUAAAAAGUUUGUUAUAAUUUAUUUUUUUUUAUUAAAUAUUUAGUAUAUUUUAAUUAUUUAUUAAAAUAUUUUUUAUAAUUUGGUUUGUAAAAUAAUAAUGAUAAAAUUAGUAUAUUUAUAUGUUUUAAUUUACAUAAUUGAAAAGUNUUAAAUAAAGAAUUCGGCAAAAUUUGUAUUCGCCUGUUUAACAAAAACAUGUCUUUUUGUAUUUUAUUUAAAGUUUAACCUGCCCAUUGAAAAAUUUUAAAAGGCCGCAGUAUAUUAACUGUGCAAAGGUAGCAUAAUCAUUAGUCUUCUAAUUGAAGGCUGGAAUGAAUGGUUGGACGAGAUAUAAGCUGUCUCAUUUAAAAUUUAUAUAGAAUUUUAUUUUUUAGUUAAAAAGCUAAAAUAUGAUCAAAAGACGAGAAGACCCUAUAAAUCUUAAUUAUUUAAUAAUUUUUAAUUUAUUUUGGUUUUUUUUGUUAUAAAUUUAUUAAAUAAUUUUAUUGGGGUGAUAUUAAAAUUUAAAUAACUUUUAAUAAUUUUUGUCAUUUAUUUAUGAUUAAGUGAUCCAUUAUUAGUGAUUAAAAAAUUAAGUUACUUUAGGGAUAACAGCGUAAUUUUUUUGGAGAGUUCUUAUCGAUAAAAAAGUUUGCGACCUCGAUGUUGGAUUAAGAUUCAUAUUUAAAUGCAGAAGUUUAAAUAUUAAGUCUGUUCGACUUUU